GGAGAUGUGGCUCAGUGGUAGAGUGCUUGCCAAGCAUGUGCAAGGCCCUGGGUUCAAUCCCCAGUACUGCCA
Molecule: transfer RNA, 72 nt
Filed under: Ictidomys tridecemlineatus (thirteen-lined ground squirrel)
Lineage: Eukaryota; Metazoa; Chordata; Mammalia; Rodentia; Sciuridae
Description: Spermophilus tridecemlineatus (thirteen-lined ground squirrel) tRNA
Rfam family: tRNA
About the family: Transfer RNA (tRNA) molecules are approximately 80 nucleotides in length. Their secondary structure includes four short double-helical elements and three loops (D, anti-codon, and T loops). Further hydrogen bonds mediate the characteristic L-shaped molecular structure. tRNAs have two regions of fundamental functional importance: the anti-codon, which is responsible for specific mRNA codon recognition, and the 3' end, to which the tRNAs corresponding amino acid is attached (by aminoacyl-tRNA synthetases). tRNAs cope with the degeneracy of the genetic code in two manners: having more than one tRNA (with a specific anti-codon) for a particular amino acid; and 'wobble' base-pairing, i.e. permitting non-standard base-pairing at the 3rd anti-codon position.
Source: Rfam by way of RNAcentral